RNAcentral lists this unclassified non-coding RNA (284 nucleotides) under plant metagenome. RNAcentral's name for it is "partial contains small subunit ribosomal RNA, internal transcribed spacer 1, and 5.8S ribosomal RNA". The stretch from base 1 to 53 matches the Rfam family "Eukaryotic small subunit ribosomal RNA", at positions 1779 to 1831 of the family's 1831-position model. The record is from RNAcentral.
GGAAUAAAAGUCGUAACAAGGUUUCCGUAGGUGAACCUGCGGAAGGAUCAUUGUUGUAUAACCGAGGUGCGAGGGCUGUCGCUGACCCGAAAGGUCGUGCACGCCCGAGUGCCCUCACACACAUCCAUCUCACCCCUAUGUGCACCACCGCGUGGGUCCCCCUUUGGCUUGUUCGGAGGGGGGCUUACGUUUUCACACAAACUUUGUAUGCAGUGUAGAAUGUAUUUUUUGUUUUUGCGAUCACGCAAUCAAUACAACUUUCAACAACGGAUCUCUUGGCUCUC